CAAGACGUAGCUUAUAAAAGCUUAUUACUUACAUUAAUAAGAAAAUUAUUUCCAAUAAUUCGUAUUGA
Molecule: transfer RNA, 68 nt
Filed under: Japanagallia malaisei
Lineage: Eukaryota; Metazoa; Arthropoda; Insecta; Hemiptera; Cicadellidae
Description: tRNA-Val
Source: RNAcentral